CUGGCUAGGACUUCCAGUACUAUGUUGAAAAGAAGUGGUGAGAAUGAACAUUUUUUUCUUGUUCCAGUUCUUAGAGAAAAGGCUUUCGACUUUUUCACAUUCAGUAUGAUGUUAGCUGUGGGUUUGUCGUAUGUGGCAUUUAUUAUGUUAAGAUCAUAAUGCCUGGUUAUGGCAAAAAGACCGCAAUUCCCACCAGAGAGCAAAAAGGAAGUAAAGCUACCAUUGUUGAUCUGAAACUAAAUGGAUUCUUGUCCGUUGUGAGGAGCAGCAGCCUACAAAGCACACUGAAUGCCAAAUGUGUUGCACCAGGGCUACAGGGAGUCGACUGCUCACAGAAAGCAAGCAUUCUGUUCUAAUUCUGUGCUGUAAGCUUUGCAAUAAGAGGCUCCAUAUGAGAAGGCUGGUGGUUGCCCAGCUGGGCUUAUGACAGACACACCCAGAUGUUUUUAAUCUAUGCAAAAUAAUGAUGGAUACUUGCUACCUUCUUCAACUAAUUUUCAAGAUGUAUUUAUAUAAAAUAAAAGAGUCUUUUAAAGCACAACUUUUUUCAAAUGUAUUUGUUACUGCACCUUUUGCCCUGGAAAAUUAUUUUUCUAUUUUUAUUUUUAUUUUUUGAGACAGGGUCUCACUCUGUCACCCAGGUUGGAGUGCAGUGGUGUGAUCACAGAUCACUGCAGCCUCGACCCCCACAGGCUCAAGUGAUCCUCCCACCUCAGGCCCCUGAGUAGCUGGGACUACAGGCAUGCACCACUAUACCAGCUGAUUUUUAAAACUUUUUGUAGAGACAGAAUCUCACUACAUUGCCCAAGCUAGUCUCAAACUUCUGGUCUCGAGCCACCCUCCCACCUCAGCCUCCCAAUGUGCUGGGAUUACAGGCAUACGCCACCACACCCAGCCUUAUUAUUUUGCUCUUUAGAGAUAAGAUAUCCAAACUUCAAAAAUAUUGUUAAUUUGGUACAAGUUAAAUCUCAGAAAUUUUGGAAACAAUCGCCUUCUGUAAUAUAUGUAAAAUAUUAUACACAGUGUCUGGCAUACAGUUAGUGCUAAAUAAAAGUUUUUC
Molecule: long non-coding RNA, 1060 nt
Filed under: Homo sapiens (human)
Lineage: Eukaryota; Metazoa; Chordata; Mammalia; Primates; Hominidae
Description: HSALNT0064045
Source: RNAcentral